GACGGACGCUGGCGGCGUGCUUAACACAUGCCAGUCGAACGGAAAGGCCCCAGCUUGCUUGGGGACUCGAGUGGCGAACGGGUGAGUAACACGUGGGUGAUCUGCCCUGCACGCUGGGAUAAGCCUGGGGAACUGGGUCUAAUACCGGAUAGGACCGUGCUUUAGUGUGUGCGGUGGAGAGUUUUUCGGUGCAGGAUGAGCGCGCGGCCUAUCAGCUUGUUGGUGGGGUAAUGGCCUACCAAGGCGGCGACGGGUAGCCGGCCUGAGAGGGUGUACGGCCACAUUGGGACUGAGACACGGCCCAGACUCCUACGGGAGGCAGCAGUGGGGAAUAUUGCACAAUGGGCGCAAGCCUGAUGCAGCGACGCCGCGUGGGGGAUGACGGCCUUCGGGUUGUAAACCCCUUUCGGCAGGGACGAAGCUUUUGUGACGGUACCUGCAUAAGAAGCACCGGCUAACUACGUG
This 465-nucleotide ribosomal RNA is filed under the name uncultured bacterium. RNAcentral's name for it is "partial 16S ribosomal RNA". It matches the Rfam family "Bacterial small subunit ribosomal RNA", at positions 28 to 507 of the family's 1533-position model. The record is from RNAcentral.